AGUGAACGCUGGCGGUAGGCCUAACACAUGCAAGUCGGACGGCAGCACAGUAAGAGCUUGCUCUUACGGGUGGCGAGUGGCGGACGGGUGAGGAAUACAUCGGAAUCUACUUUUUCGUGGGGGAUAACGUAGGGAAACUUACGCUAAUACCGCAUACGACCUACGUGUGAAAGCAGGGGAUCUUCGGACCUUGCGCGAUUGAAUGAGCCGAUGUCGGAUUAGCUAGUUGGCGGGGUAAAGGCCCACCAAGGCGACGAUCCGUAGCUGGUCUGAGAGGAUGAUCAGCCACACUGGAACUGAGACACGGUCCAGACUCCUACGGGAGGCAGCAGUGGGGAAUAUUGGACAAUGGGCGCAAGCCUGAUCCAGCCAUACCGCGUGGGUGAAGAAGGCCUUCGGGUUGUAAAGCCCUUUUGUUGGGAAAGAAAAGCAGCAGGUUAAUACCCCGCUGUUCUGACGGUACCCAAAGAAUAAGCACCGGCUAACUUCGUG
RNAcentral lists this ribosomal RNA (492 nucleotides) under uncultured bacterium. Its description in RNAcentral is "partial 16S ribosomal RNA". It matches the Rfam family "Bacterial small subunit ribosomal RNA", at positions 29 to 507 of the family's 1533-position model. The record is from RNAcentral.